This 63-nucleotide transfer RNA is filed under the name Branchinella kugenumaensis. RNAcentral's name for it is "tRNA-Ile". The record is from RNAcentral. Lineage: Eukaryota; Metazoa; Arthropoda; Branchiopoda; Anostraca; Thamnocephalidae.
AAUAAGGUGCCUGAAAAAAAGGAUUACGUUGAUACUGUAAUUAUGCAUUAAAAUGCCCUUAUU